This 3156-nucleotide long non-coding RNA is filed under the name Homo sapiens (human). Its description in RNAcentral is "survival associated mitochondrial melanoma specific oncogenic non-coding RNA, transcript variant 21 (SAMMSON)". Lineage: Eukaryota; Metazoa; Chordata; Mammalia; Primates; Hominidae. The record is from RNAcentral.
GGGCAGACACACUGAAGUCGCUAGACAUUUGAGGAACACAUCCGGGGAAGAAGACACAGGUGGCUGGUCAUGGAGAGCCCGCUGGGGGAAGAGCACACAGACAGGCACCGGCAGGCCAUUGACCAGCGGGACAAGGUGGGCUCAAUGUCAUCACAAGGGUGCUUAAGAGGGAAAGAGGAAGCCAUGAGGGUCAGAGUCAAAGGAAGACUUGAAGAUACUACACUGCGGACUUUAAAGAUGAAGGAAGGGGCGAAAACCAAGAAUGUGGGAAGCCUCUAGAAGCUAGAGAAGGCAAGGAAACAAAUUUUCCACUAGAGCCUCCAGAAGGAACACAGCCCUGCUGACCCACUGUAAUGUCUGACCUCUAGAUGUGUAAGGGUAGUAAGACUGAAAGUCUCAGAAAGGCACUGUUAAAUUCUUAUUCCUCAACUAUGCAACUCAAAACUGGGGUCCUCAGCAGUGAGCGAGGGGUGAGAGAAGACACUGUAUAAACAUGGCACAUCCUCCUGGAAAGUCAACUUUACUCAAAGGUUCUUACACACAGUGACAGCUAGCAGAGUCUAAAAUGCUGACAUUAUGACUUAGAGAUGUGAUAAAGAGAAACAUCUAUUGCAUUUUCUGUGUGCUUCCUGAGGUUGACUUCAGAUCGAUGUGGAUGUACACUUGGACCAAGUUCUACAUUAGGAACACUUUAAGUGAUUGAUCUAGAGGUGCCCCUGCUGUGAAAAUGGAAAGAAAUGUAAUGUUUUGGUCAUGGGAGAGCUGCCAAUUCCACAGUACCAGCACAGGCCCUGGAGCCAGACUGUCUGGGGUUUGAAAUCAGCUCCUCCACCUACCAGCUAUUGACCUCAGUUUUGCAAGAUGUUAUCACCAGAGGAAGCUGCAUUAAAAGUACCCUUCUCUAUGGUAUGUCUUACAACUGCAGAUGAAUCUACGGUUCCCUCAAAACAAAAAGGUUGGGAACAUGACCUAAUGGUGUGCUACCAUGCAGCUCUUUCCAGCUCCAUGUUCAGUGACUUCAUAUUGGGUGUUGUCUAUUUGCCCUCCACUUGUAUACAGGCUGGCCUUUGUGACUUGCUUUGUACAGCUGAUGUGACAUCUUGAGACAUCUGAGGUCAAGGCCUUAAGAAGACUGGUCGUUUUUUCUGGAUGCUAAGAGAAGAAAGUGAUUCAAGGAGGAGGGUGUAAUCAACUUCAUCAAGUGCUGCUGACAAGUCAAGUAGGAUGAGGACCAGGAAGUGGUCAUUGGAAAUACCAGUGUGGAUGUCAUUUGCGAUUUGGUAGAUAGUAAUCCGAGUGGAGCAUUUGGAGCAAAAUCCUGGUUUAAGUAGAUUUAAGAAGAAAUUGGAAGAAAGAAAUUGGAGACAAUGAGUACAAAUAACUCUUUCUUCUCUUGCUAGAAAUCCAAGAGCAACAGAGCAAUGACUGAAGGAAGGUGCUGAUAAAUCACAAGAGCAUUUUUUUUCAAGGUGGUAGAAAUAACAUCAGCUUAUCUAAAUGCUGUAAUACACUUCUGAACCUUAACCUAUAAUUUAAAGACAGUACAGACUUGUUGCAAAAACACGAUUUCUAAAAGCAAGGUUAAUCCUUACCACAUAAUAUCUUGGCAAAAAUUAUCUUCCUUGUGUUUCAAUUUCAUCAUUUGUAAUAUGAAUUAAAAUAACCACUUUACAGAGGAGUUGGCCUGGUAAAAUUUUUUUAUUUAAGGUUCUAAGUUUGAUAGUUCUCAUUGUUCCAUAUUCUUUCAUUUGCAACUUGGUAGAAAAUAUCAAAAUUGAUUCCAAGCAAUAAUGAUUUUGAUAAAUGUAUUAGGCCAUUCUUGCAUUGCUGUAAAGAAAAUACCUGAGACUGGAUAAUUUAUGAAAAGAGAGGUUUAAUUGGCUCAUGGUUCUGCAGGCUGUCCAGGAAGCAUAGCAGCAUCUGGUUUUGGGGAGGCCUCAAGAAGCUUCCAAUCAUGGCAGAAGGCAAAGGAGGAGCAGGCACAUCACAUGGCAAAAGCAGGAGCAAGAGAGAAAGAGGAUGGGGGAGGAUUACCACACAUUUAAAUGACCAGAUCUUGUGAGAACUCAUUCAGUAUCACAAAGGCAGCACUAUGCCAUGAGGGAUCCAUCCCCAUGACCCACAUACCUCCCCACCAGUCCCCACCUCCAUCACCUCCACCAUCAGGGCUUAGGAUUCAACAUGAGAUUUUGGCAGGGACAUAUAUCCAAACUAUGUCAAUAAAUACAAUUUUUUUCACAGAAAAUAGUAAGGUAUAAAAUUUAAAAAUAAAUCUUUAGUCUUGUAACUUUCCAAAACAUUGGAGGGAUGUAUAAGUUAAAAAGUGAAAGAGGGUGUAUGUGUAGGAGAUUAAAACAUUAUAAACAAAAAUUUGUAAGUGUUUGUUGCCUAUUAUAUUCCAGCCAGAUAUUUUGUUGACAAAUUCAUGUUAAGUUGACCCUAUUGUGUCAUUAGAAUUUAUGAAAAAUAUGUUACCACAUUUCAUCAUGGCCAGACCAUAUGUUGGGAAGAGUGACUAGUGGUAAUUUACAGAGAAAAGACAAAGAACUGUGGCAUCAGAAUCCCUUCACCUUCGCAGCUGAGACUAUAUGCCCUAGGAAUUACAUAUGUUUAUGCUGUUGCUAUUUUGCUUAAGAUCAUCUCUGAAAACUAGUUUAGAAAAGCAAAUCUCUGUUGCUCUUAUGACAAAAAUGUAGAUGUGAAGUGUAAUGCAGGAAUGGAUAAAUGAGUAGAAUAUUUUGGACUUAAAAGGCUCAAAUGAUUGGAGUAAAUAUUUAUAAUCAUUUUGAUGCAGUCUUUACAAUCAUGCCCUUUAUGGCAUAAUAUUUGGUUGUAUUUUGUAUACAAUUUCAGGUUCAUUUCAUGUUGGCACCUAUUUUCUGGGUUCUCAAGGGUACAACAUGUGUUUUAGCCAGGUGCCAGUAAUAUUUUUAUAUGGUCUCUUUCUCGGUACUUGUAGGAAAAUUAUUCUUGUAAUUGGAAGGCAGAAAUAGUCUGUAGUCCAAUUAUAUGUGCAUAAUUGUUUGUGUUCACUAUAACCAAUGUUUGAUUGUCAGUAGUAUAGAGGGCAAUGUCUUGGUUUCUUCCUAUUUUAAUAAUUAAUUACAUUUCCUUCUAUGAAAGGGAGGUGGGAAUAAAGCUUCAUGUUUUUGUCAG